RNAcentral lists this long non-coding RNA (241 nucleotides) under Homo sapiens (human). RNAcentral describes it as "long non-coding RNA NONHSAT180487". The record is from RNAcentral. Lineage: Eukaryota; Metazoa; Chordata; Mammalia; Primates; Hominidae.
CCCACCUCCCCUUUCCCCUUUCUCCUUCACAGACCAUACUUUGCCUUUUAAAAGAAAUGCCACCCACAUUCAGAGACACAAGUGCAGCAGUUUGGUGAGCUUUUACAACAUUUUUUUUUUCUGUUUUGUUCUAAUUAAAUGUAUCGUCCUGGGAAUCGCAGCCCAUCGCAGCCCGACUCCAGUUCAAGGAAAUAAACAGAUUAGCAAAGGUCUGUUCGCUAAGCCCUCGUUGGGCUUCCGG